CCUUCGGGAGCUUGCACAGGUGCUGCAUGGCUGUCGUCAGCUCGUGUCGUGAGAUGUUCGGUUAAGUCCGUUACGAGCGCAACCCUCGCUGUGUGUUACAAGUGUCACACGGUACUGCCGGUCUUAAGCCGGAGGAAGGUGGGGAUGACGUCAAGUCAGCAUGGCCUUUAUGUCCUGGGCUACACACACGCUACAAUGGCCAACACAAUAGGUUGCUAAGCCGCGAGGUGGAGCCAAUCCUCAAAGUUGGUCUCAGUUCAGAUUGCAGGCUGCAACCCGCCUGCAUGAAGAUGGAGUUGCUAGUAACCGCAGGUCAGCUAUACUGCGGUGAAUACGUUCCCGGGCUU
This 347-nucleotide ribosomal RNA is filed under the name uncultured Leptolinea sp. RNAcentral's name for it is "bacterial SSU rRNA". It matches the Rfam family "Bacterial small subunit ribosomal RNA", at positions 1017 to 1381 of the family's 1533-position model. The record is from RNAcentral. Lineage: Bacteria; Bacillati; Chloroflexota; Anaerolineae; Anaerolineales; Anaerolineaceae.